AGAGUUUGAUCCUGGCUCAGAAUGAACGUUGGCGGCGUGGAUUAGGCAUGCAAGUCGAGCGCGAUAUUUUUGAAAGAUACUUCGGUUGAUUUCUUGAAUGGAAAGCGGCGAAAGGGAGAGUAACGAGUAGAUACGUACCCAGGGGUCCGGGAUAGCCAUGCGAAAGCGUGAGUAAUACCGGAUAAUGUCUCCGGACCAAAGAUUUAUUGCCCUUGGAGCGGUUUGCUUACUAUUAGCUUGUUGGUGGGGUAAAGGCCUACCAAGGCUUAGAUGGUUAGCGGGUGUGAGAGCAUGACCCGCCUCACUGGGACUGAGACACUGCCCAGACAUCUACGGAUGGCUGCAGUCGAGAAUCUUCCGCAAUGGACGAAAGUCUGACGGAGCGACGCCGCGUGCUGGAUGAAGGCCCUCGGGUUGUAAACAGCUGUCGUAGGGGAGGAAAUUUUGACCGAUCCUAGGAGGAAGCACAGGCUAAGUUCGUGCCAGCAGCCGCGGUAAUACGAACUGUGCAAACGUUAUUCGGAAUCACUGGGCUUAAAGGGUGCGUAGGCGGGUUGGUAGGUCAGAUGUGAAAGCCCACGGCUCAACCGUGGAAUUGCGUUUGAAACCACCAGUCUUGAGGGGAUCAGAGGAGAGCGGAACUGAUGGUGGAGCGGUGAAAUGCGUUGAUAUUAUCAGGAACACCGGUGGCGAAAGCGGCUCUCUGGGAUCUUUCUGACGCUGAGGCACGAAAGCUAGGGGAGCGAACGGGAUUAGAUACCCCCGGUAGUCCUAGCUGUAAACGAUCUGUACUAGUCUGUGGAGACUCCCACAUCUUCUCGGACGUAGCGAAAGUGUUAAGUAC
Molecule: ribosomal RNA, 844 nt
Filed under: uncultured Planctomycetota bacterium
Lineage: Bacteria; Pseudomonadati; Planctomycetota
Description: bacterial SSU rRNA
Rfam family: Bacterial small subunit ribosomal RNA
Source: RNAcentral